This 301-nucleotide ribosomal RNA is filed under the name uncultured bacterium. Its description in RNAcentral is "partial 16S ribosomal RNA". It matches the Rfam family "Bacterial small subunit ribosomal RNA", at positions 509 to 807 of the family's 1533-position model. The record is from RNAcentral.
CAGUCGCCGCGGGAAUACAGAGGGUGCGAGCGUUAAUCGGAUUUACUGGGCGUAAAGCGUGCGUAGGCGGCUUCUUAAGUCGGAUGUGAAAUCCCUGAGCUUAACUUAGGAAUUGCAUUCGAUACUGGGAAGCUAGAGUAUGGGAGAGGAUGGUAGAAUUCCAGGUGUAGCGGUGAAAUCCGUAGAGAUCUGGAGGAAUACCGAUGGCGAAGGCAGCCAUCUGGCCUAAUACUGACGCUGAGGUACGAAAGCAUGGGGAGCAAACAGGAUUAGAUACCCCUGUAGUCCCUGUCUCUUAUAC